This 478-nucleotide ribosomal RNA is filed under the name uncultured bacterium. Its description in RNAcentral is "partial 16S ribosomal RNA". It matches the Rfam family "Bacterial small subunit ribosomal RNA", at positions 28 to 507 of the family's 1533-position model. The record is from RNAcentral.
GACGAACGCUGGCGGCGUGCUUAACACAUGCAAGUCGAACGGGAUUUAGUAAACGGAAGCCUCGGUGGAAGAUUACUAAUGAGAGUGGCGAACGGGUGAGUAACGCGUGAGCAACCUGCCUAUGACAGUGGGAUAGCCUCGGGAAACCGGGAUUAAUACCGCAUAAAAUCGUAGAAACACAUGUUUCAACGGUCAAAGAUUUAUCGGUCAUAGAUGGGCUCGCGUCUGAUUAGCUAGUUGGUGAGAUAACAGCCCACCAAGGCGACGACCAGUAGCCGGUCUGAGAGGAUGAACGGCCACAUUGGAACUGAGACACGGUCCAAACUCCUACGGGAGGCAGCAGUGGGGAAUAUUGCACAAUGGGGGAAACCCUGAUGCAGCGACGCCGCGUGAACGAAGAAGGUAUUCGUAUCGUAAAGUUCUGCCCUAUGGGAAGAUAAUGACAGUACCAUAGAAGAAAGCUCCGGCUAAAUACGUG